Molecule: transfer RNA, 68 nt
Filed under: Marmota monax (woodchuck)
Lineage: Eukaryota; Metazoa; Chordata; Mammalia; Rodentia; Sciuridae
Description: tRNA.Ala
Source: RNAcentral
GGUUUGUGCCUCAGCGGUAGAGCACUUGCCUUGCAUGUGUGAGGCCCUGGGUUUGAUCCUCAGCACCA